AACUGUCAUUACAAUGGAAUAUGUAAUCAAGCUAAAUCUCGGUGUUUAUGCUAUGAUGGUUUUUAUGGAACUGACUGUAAUGGUGAUUGUGGCUGUAAUGGACACGGCGUAUGCCUAAAAGAUAAUUCAUGUCAAUGUGAGGAAGGAUGGAGAUGGGAUGGUAGUCAAUGUGUUUGGGAUUGUCACUGUUCAGAUGGUGGUAAAUGUAUUGCUCCUGGUGAAUGUGGUUGUAAACAUCCAUGUAAGAUGGGAAAUUGUAGAAAUGGAGAAUGUCAAUGUUGGAAUGGAUAUAAAGGACAAGAUUGUUCAACAUACGACCCUAAAAUAAUGAUGAAUUAUGGGGUGAAAGUUGGAAUAAAUCUGGGAGGAAUAAAUUAUUAUUCAUCUGAAGUAAAGUUUGUUGAUAUAGCCAAACAAUCCCAGGAAUGGAUAACUCAAAGAGAUGGCGUUAAAGCAUGGAAUACCAAUGAACAUGAUAAAGUCAAGUGGUUAUCUGACGGUUAUCCGGCUUCUUUACCUUCUAAUAUGAAGGUGGUUAAGUUGAUAUAUAGAGGUUUCGGCAUACACGAAGAGACAGGAAACUACACAUUAUUAUGGGAUGGUGAUGGAG
Long non-coding RNA from Patella vulgata (common limpet), 610 nucleotides. RefSeq lists it as uncharacterized. The record is from RefSeq and is a predicted model, not a curated record. NCBI's taxonomy places the organism in Eukaryota, Metazoa, Mollusca, Gastropoda, Patellidae. The transcript has 5 exons.